UCCAUUUUAACCAUGCAAUCGAAUAUUAUGAAAUUAGAACAAUAUAGGGAAGAUUAUCAUGGCCUUUUAUGCAGAUGACACAAACAAAUUUAGAAAUUGUCAAAAUUUAC
RNAcentral lists this small nuclear RNA (110 nucleotides) under Olea europaea subsp. europaea. The record is from RNAcentral. Lineage: Eukaryota; Viridiplantae; Streptophyta; Magnoliopsida; Lamiales; Oleaceae.